AGGGUUUGAUCAUGGCUCAGGAUGAACGCUGGCGGCGUGCCUAAUGCAUGCAAGUCGAGCGACGCAUACCGGAGGGGUAACCCACUGGUAUGACGGAGCGGCGAACGGGUGAGUAACACGUGAGCAACCUGCCCCACAGACCGGGACAGCCCAGGGAAACUUGGAUUAAUACCGGAUGACCUCGGAGGAUCGCAUGAUCCAUUGAGGAAAUGCCUUUGUGCUGUGGGAUGGGCUCGCGACUUAUCAGCUAGUUGGUGGGGUAACGGCCUACCAAGGCGUCGACGAGUAGCUGAUCUGAGAGGAUGAUCAGCCACACUGGAACUGAAAUACGGUCCAGACUCCUACGGGAGGCAGCAGUGGGGAAUUAUUGCGCAAUUGGGGGAAACCCUGACGCAGCAACGCCGCGUGAGUGAAGAAGGCUUUCGGG
Molecule: ribosomal RNA, 427 nt
Filed under: uncultured bacterium
Lineage: Bacteria
Description: bacterial SSU rRNA
Rfam family: Bacterial small subunit ribosomal RNA
Source: RNAcentral